Long non-coding RNA from Patella vulgata (common limpet), 394 nucleotides. RefSeq lists it as uncharacterized. The transcript has 4 exons. The record is from RefSeq and is a predicted model, not a curated record. Lineage: Eukaryota; Metazoa; Mollusca; Gastropoda; Patellidae.
AGUUUGCUUAACAGAUUGAACUAUUCCCAUGUGUAAAUCAGUUUGCACUUCCUAGAAUAGAUUGAGUGGAAGAACAGAAUGCAACAAUUUUUAAUUCUGUUUGCUGUAUUGGCCUUUGGGUUAUGUUACCCAACUGGUCAUAUAUCAGAUAAUGCCAACGCCAGAAAACUGUUUGCUCGUGUCGACAUGGAUAACGAUUCUUCUCUAAGUAUUCAGGAUUUUGAAGGAAUUUUUAAACGUUUUGACUUAAAUGGUGAUGAUAAAAUAGAACGCGAGGAAUUUGUAAAACACUGGGCUGUAGAAAAACUUGGUACUCCCCCAGAAGCUGUUAAUCUGUUCAAUAAUCUAGAUGUGAAUAAAGAUAGUGUCAUCUCUCACUCCCCAGAUCUACCAU